RNAcentral lists this ribosomal RNA (429 nucleotides) under Acidobacteriota bacterium. RNAcentral describes it as "Acidobacteria bacterium partial 16S ribosomal RNA". It matches the Rfam family "Bacterial small subunit ribosomal RNA", at positions 355 to 776 of the family's 1533-position model. The record is from RNAcentral. Lineage: Bacteria; Pseudomonadati; Acidobacteriota.
UGGGGAAUUUUGGACAAUGGGGGAAACCCUGAUCCAGCCAUCCCGCGUGUGCGAUGAAGGCCUUCGGGUUGUAAAGCACUUUUGGCAGGAAAGAAACGUCAUGGGUUAAUACCCCGUGAAACUGACGGUACCUGCAGAAUAAGCACCGGCUAACUACGUGCCAGCAGACGCGGUAAUACGUAGGGUGCAAGCGUUAAUCGGAAUUACUGGGCGUAAAGCGUGCGCAGGCGGUUCGGAAAGAAAGAUGUGAAAUCCCAGAGCUCAACUUUGGAACUGCAUUUUUAACUACCGGGCUAGAUUGUGUCAGAGGGAGGUGGAAUUCCGCGUGUAGCAGUGAAAUGCGUAGAUAUGCGGAGGAACACCGAUGGCGAAGGCAGCCUCCUGGGAUAACACUGACGCUCAUGCACGAAAGCGUGGGGAGCAAACAGG